UCUCAAGUAUUUUCUUAUCAUAUGUGAUUGAGUACUCCUCUCUUCCUCUAUCCACCAUAUUUCUAUUGAUUUAGUUGCCAACAAGUUGGUAUUAGAGCAUAAGCAUAAGAAGCACCCAUCACCAAAUUCUAACAAAUACUUCAUUAUCCUUUUUCUCCAAAAAUACCAUGUAUUCUAGACAAUGAGAACGAUUAUAGCAUGCUUAUAGUUAAUUCUAUCUCAUAAAUUUCAGUCUGUUGUAAAACAAAUUUUAUGUAUGUCAUUCGUAUUACAGGGACCCAUGCUAGCUCCAUGUGAACAGGAAGUGUCUUUUUGG
RNAcentral lists this long non-coding RNA (316 nucleotides) under Elaeis guineensis (African oil palm). Its description in RNAcentral is "long non-coding RNA (EGUI_LNC001396)". The record is from RNAcentral. Lineage: Eukaryota; Viridiplantae; Streptophyta; Magnoliopsida; Arecales; Arecaceae.